GAAUUGGAGGGCAAGUUUGGUGCCAGCAGCCGCGGUAAUACCGACUCCAAGAGUGUGUAUGAGAGAUGCUGCAGUUAAAAAGUCCGUAGUCAUAGAAGGGCAAAGAGAGAUGCGAGGUCUCACAGUGCGAUGAUGGAGGAGCCGAUGGGGAACAUAGUAUACCAGGGCGAGAGAUGAAAUGCCAAGACCCCUGGUGGACUGAGCGAGGCGAAGGCGAUGUUCUUGUAGGCAUUCGGUGAUCAAGGACGAAGGCUGGAGUAUCGAAAGUGAUUAGAUACCGCAGUAGUUCCAGCAGUAAAAGAUGCCGACAUGCUCAUUGGACACAGUGGGCAGGGAGAAAUCUUAGAGUUCGGGCUCUGGGGAUAGUAUGCUCGCAAGGGUGAAAAUUAAAGAAAUUGACGGAGCUACACCACAAGGAGUGGAUUGUGCGGCUUAAUUUGACUCAACGCGAGGAAACUUACCAGGGCCAAGUAUUGUGUAGAAACGAGCAAUACAGGAGUGGUGCAUGGUCGUUGGAAAUUGAUGGGAUGACUUUGACCUUAAAUGGUUGAAUGAGUGAGAUCUUUUGGACAUGUUCCGCACGGAACAGGAAGGAAAAGGCUAUAACAGAUCCGAGAUGCCCUCAGAUGCCCUGGGCUGCACGCGCAAUACAAUAGCAGGUAGAGAGAGAGACAGGAAGGUGCUCAGAUGGACUAUGUGCUGUAAGGCACAUACGAAAGAGGAAU
RNAcentral lists this ribosomal RNA (725 nucleotides) under Vittaforma corneae. RNAcentral describes it as "SSU rRNA". It matches the Rfam family "Microsporidia small subunit ribosomal RNA", at positions 369 to 1134 of the family's 1311-position model. Lineage: Eukaryota; Fungi; Microsporidia; Nosematidae. The record is from RNAcentral.